This 305-nucleotide ribosomal RNA is filed under the name uncultured bacterium. RNAcentral's name for it is "bacterial SSU rRNA". It matches the Rfam family "Bacterial small subunit ribosomal RNA", at positions 335 to 638 of the family's 1533-position model. The record is from RNAcentral.
UUGCCUACGGGGGGCAGCAGUGAGGAAUAUUGGUCAAUGGGCGAGAGCCUGAACCAGCCAAGUCGCGUGAGGGACGACGGCCCUACGGGUUGUAAACCUCUUUUGCCGGGGGACAAACGGCGGCACGCGUGCCGUCCUGAGGGUACCCGGAGAAAAAGCAUCGGCUAACUCCGUGCCAGCAGCCGCGGUAAUACGGAGGGUGCGAGCGUUAUCCGGAUUUAUUGGGUUUAAAGGGUGCGUAGGCGGGGUGCCAAGGCAGCGGUCAAAUAAGGGGGCGCAACCUGCGCCCGCCGUUGAAACGGGAG